GAACGCUGGCGGCAUGCCUUACACAUGCAAGUCGAACGGCAGCACGGGAGCAAUCCUGGUGGCGAGUGGCGAACGGGUGAGUAAUAUAUCGGAACGUGCCCGGUCGUGGGGGAUAACGUAGCGAAAGCUACGCUAAUACCGCAUACGAUCUACGGAUGAAAGCGGGGGAUCGCAAGACCUCGCGCGAUUGGAGCGGCCGAUAUCAGAUUAGGUAGUUGGUGAGGUAAAGGCUCACCAAGCCGACGAUCUGUAGCUGGUCUGAGAGGACGACCAGCCACACUGGGACUGAGACACGGCCCAGACUCCUACGGGAGGCAGCAGUGGGGAAUAUUGGACAAUGGGCGAAAGCCUGAUCCAGCCAUGCCGCGUGUGUGAAGAAGGUCUUCGGAUUGUAAAGCACUUUAAGUUGGGAGGAAGGGUAGUAACCUAAUACGUUGCUACUUUGACGUUACCGACAGAAUAAGCACCGGCUAACUUCGUG
This 481-nucleotide ribosomal RNA is filed under the name uncultured bacterium. RNAcentral describes it as "bacterial SSU rRNA". It matches the Rfam family "Bacterial small subunit ribosomal RNA", at positions 31 to 507 of the family's 1533-position model. The record is from RNAcentral.